Molecule: ribosomal RNA, 253 nt
Filed under: uncultured bacterium
Lineage: Bacteria
Description: partial 16S ribosomal RNA
Rfam family: Bacterial small subunit ribosomal RNA
Source: RNAcentral
UACGUAGGGGGCAAGCGUUGUCCGGAUUCAUUGGGCGUAAAGAGCGCGCAGGCGGUCGUACAAGUCGCGUGUGAAAGCCCCUGGCUCAACUGGGGAGGGUCACGCGAUACUGUUCGACUCGAAGGCAGGAGAGGGAAGUGGAAUUCCCGGUGUAGUGGUGAAAUGCGUAGAUAUCGGGAGGAACACCAGUGGCGAAGGCGACUUCCUGGCCUGUUCUUGACGCUGAGGCGCGAAAGCUAGGGUAGCAAACGGG